GAUCAUGGCUCAGGAUGAACGCUAGCUACAGGCUUAACACAUGCAAGUCGAGGGGCAUCAGGAAGAAAGCUUGCUUUCUUUGCUGGCGACCGGCGCACGGGUGAGUAACACGUAUCCGAACCUGCCCUUUACUCGGGGAUAGCCUUUCGAAAGAAAGAUUAAUACCCGAUAGCAUAAUGAUUCCGCAUGGUUUCAUUAUUAAAGGAUUUCCCGGGUAAAAGGAUAGGGAUGCGUUCCAUUAGGUUGUUGGUG
This 252-nucleotide ribosomal RNA is filed under the name uncultured bacterium. RNAcentral describes it as "partial 16S ribosomal RNA". It matches the Rfam family "Bacterial small subunit ribosomal RNA", at positions 15 to 254 of the family's 1533-position model. The record is from RNAcentral.